CUACGGGGCGCUGCAGUCGAGAAUCUUCCGCAAUGGACGAAAGUCUGACGGAGCGACGCCGCGUGCGGGAUGAAGGCCUUCGGGUUGUAAACCGCUGUCAGUGGGGAGGAAAUGCAUCAGGGUUCUCCCUGGUGUUUGACCGAUCCGCAGAGGAAGCGCAGGCUAAGUUCGUGCCAGCAGCCGCGGUAACACGAACUGCGCGAACGUUAUUCGGAAUCACUGGGCUUAAAGAGUUCGUAGGCGGCCUUUCAAGUCGGGUGUGAAAUCCCUCGGCUCAACCGAGGAAUUGCGCCUGAUACUGUUGGGCUUGAGGGGGAUAGGGGUGAGCGGAACUGAUGGUGGAGCGGUGAAAUGCGUUGAUAUCAUCAGGAACACCGGUGGCGAAGGCGGCUCACUGGAUCUCUUCUGACGCUGAGGAACGAAAACUAGGGGAGCGAACGGGAUUAGAUACCCCCGUAGUC
RNAcentral lists this ribosomal RNA (461 nucleotides) under uncultured bacterium. RNAcentral's name for it is "partial 16S ribosomal RNA". It matches the Rfam family "Bacterial small subunit ribosomal RNA", at positions 339 to 795 of the family's 1533-position model. The record is from RNAcentral.